UACGGAGGGUGCGAGCGUUGUCCGGAAUCACUGGGCGUAAAGGGCGCGUAGGCGGCCUGAUAAGUAGGGGGUGAAAUCCUGCGGCUUAACCGCAGGGCUGCCUUCUAAACUGUCAGGCUAGAGCACGGUAGAGGCAGAUGGAAUUCCCGGUGUAGCGGUGGAAUGCGUAGAUAUCGGGAGGAACACCAGUGGCGAAGGCGACUUCCUGGCCUGUUCUUGACGCUGAGGCGCGAAAGCUAGGGUAGCAAACGGG
Molecule: ribosomal RNA, 253 nt
Filed under: uncultured bacterium
Lineage: Bacteria
Description: partial 16S ribosomal RNA
Rfam family: Bacterial small subunit ribosomal RNA
Source: RNAcentral